This 505-nucleotide ribosomal RNA is filed under the name Campylobacter jejuni. RNAcentral describes it as "partial 23S ribosomal RNA". It matches the Rfam family "Bacterial large subunit ribosomal RNA", at positions 1244 to 1741 of the family's 2925-position model. The record is from RNAcentral. Lineage: Bacteria; Pseudomonadati; Campylobacterota; Epsilonproteobacteria; Campylobacterales; Campylobacteraceae.
UUUGCGUCGAAGGUAUACCGGUAAGGAGUGCUGGAGCGAAUAGAAGUGAGCAUGCAGGCAUGAGUAGCGAUAAUUAAUGUGAGAAUCAUUAACGCCGUAAACCCAAGGUUUCCUACGCGAUGCUCGUCAUCGUAGGGUUAGUCGGGUCCUAAGUCGAGUCCGAAAGGGGUAGACGAUGGCAAAUUGGUUAAUAUUCCAAUACCAACAUUAGUGUGCGAUGGAAGGACGCUUAGGGCUAAGGGGGCUAGCGGAUGGAAGUGCUAGUCUAAGGUCGUAGGAGGUUAUACAGGCAAAUCCGUAUAACAAUACUCCGAGAACUGAAAGGCUUUUUGAAGUCUUCGGAUGGAUAGAAGAACCCCUGAUGCCGUCGAGCCAAGAAAAGUUUCUAAGUUUAGCUAAUGUUGCCCGUACCGUAAACCGACACAGGUGGGUGGGAUGAGUAUUCUAAGGCGCGUGGAAGAACUCUCUUUAAGGAACUCUGCAAAAUAGCACCGUAUCUUCGGUA